This is an RNA transcript of Rhincodon typus (whale shark), 1960 nucleotides long. It is a transcript of the gene named ARV1 homolog, fatty acid homeostasis modulator, with no coding region annotated. The transcript has 7 exons. Lineage: Eukaryota; Metazoa; Chordata; Chondrichthyes; Orectolobiformes; Rhincodontidae. The record is from RefSeq and is a predicted model, not a curated record.
CGGCGAGGAGCUGGGGUGUGUGUGAGGAGGGGGUGUGGGCCUCGCGCUCGAGUUUUUAAAAAGUGAGCGGCUGUUGGCCAGAAUGGCGGUGUGCUAUCGGUGCGUGGAGUGCAAUGAGGAGGCGCAAGAACUUCACAGGGACUAUAGCCACGGCGUCAUCAAGAUAACCAUCUGUAAAUCAUGCCAGAAACCGGUUGACAAGUACAUUGAAUAUGACCCAGUGAUCAUACUCAUUGAUGCAAUCUUGUGCAAAGUGCAAGCUUAUAGGCAUAUCAUCCUCAAUACUAAAAUUAAUAUUCAUUGGAAGCUGUGCAUAUUCUGCUUGUUGUGCGAAGCAUAUCUUCGAUGGUCACAGCUACAGGAUUCACAGCAAGCUGUUGAUCCGACAGAUAUAAUUCGUUAUGCCAAAGAGUGGGAUUUCUACCAAAUGUUUGGAUUAGCUAGUUUGGAACUAGCAGCAUUCCUCAGUGGGACAUUUUUCAUUUUGUGGUUAACAAACAAAGAUUUCAUCCAGAAGAAAUCAAACUGCAACACAUUGCUAAUAGCUUUAUUACUGUCUGGCUAUGGGAAACUCCUUGUGAUUCCAGCUGUGAUCUGGGAACAUGACUAUUCACCACUAUACAUUGGCCUCAUCAAGUUCUUUGUGCUUGCGUCAAAUGCACAAGCCGUCAGAGUAGUGUUGAAUAGCAGCAGGAGAUUUGCAUUGUCUGUCAUUUUUGUUGGAUGGAUGGUGGAGCAGUUAGCAGCCUGCAUCUUUCAACAGCUCCAAUUGACCUCAUAAGUGUAUCAGAAAUAUCUAAGAGCAUAAAUAUGGGAGAUAAUAAGAACUGGCUCGUCAGCCAUUUGAAUUGCUCCUUCCACAAAACUUUAUAGUUUCCACUGAUACACACUCUCUGCAACGAUCAUGUGAAAGAUUUUAACAGCCACAGCCAUUCUUUUCAUCCUUCGUCAGAUAAGGAGACCAAAGCUGCUCACAGUACUCCAGAUGUGAUCUCACCAAGGCCUUAAAAUUUGUCCUAUUGACAAGACAAGAUUACGAACUCCAAGGUCCUGGAUUGUGCUAAUUCCAUCAGCGUGCAUUCAUUGGUAAGCUAACAAUGUCUGCACUGGCUCAGCCAUAUUCAAUACAUGAAUGAUUGCUGUAUGCUCAGACUUUCUGUAUUGUGAAUUGGUCACUGGAUCACAGGAUCACAGUUUUCUCGGCAUGGGUCCUCUGCUGCAUGAACAUCAGUAAGCGACAUCAUAAGACAGUAGAUAUUGACACUGACGUCUGGAAGAUGACUCCCUGGAAACCUUCAGUCUGACUGAAAGAUGGGAGUGGAAAUGCUAGGCUAGCUGGUGAAGAGACCCCAAAAAAAACUGAAACCAGCAAAUCCAGCUCCUCCUCAGUCUUCCUCUGUCAUACCAGAGUGAGCUCCUGAGCUACAGCAGGUGAUACUUAACUGAGAUGACUAACACUGUGCAAAUCAUUGUCUUGCAAGAUUGAAGACUGGCCCCCUCUCUGAAGCCAGGAAAUGUGAUGCACGAUACCCGGUCUUGCUCUUGUAGCCAAAGUAUUUCUAUGGCUGGUCUAUAAAAUCCAUUUCUAAUCAAUAAUAACUCACAUUUCAGAGAGGGAGGCAAAUGUUUAUAGUUUGAGGGGCACUAAUCUGCAUUAAACAUGGCUGACCAGAAACUUCUAAAGCAUCAAAGUGACAGGUCCCACUUUACCUGUCUCUGUUAUGGGUGCAUCUGUUUUUGGUUGAACCCUGUCAGCUCCAUUGUGAUUUCAAGCACUUGAGGGUUGACCUCUCAUUACCAUGGCUGCUUAUGGUAAACCCCUGAUUGUUAAUGGUGGCUGAUAAAUGUCAAAGGAAGAUGGUUAGAUUCUCUCUUUAUAAAUGAUUGUUGCCUGGGAAGUAAAAGCUACUGUUUGUGAAAGUUGACCAUAAUUUUAAAUAAAAGUGAAAGUUUUAAGUGA